CGGUUAAGUUAGAAAGGGCGCACGGUGGAUGCCUUGGCACUAGGAGCCGAUGAAGGACGGGACGAACACCGAUAUGCUUCGGGGAGCUGUAAGCAAGCUUUGAUCCGGAGAUUUCCGAAUGGGGAAACCCACCACUCGUAAUGGAGUGGUAUCCAUAUCUGAAUACAUAGGAUAUGAGAAGGCAGACCCGGGGAACUGAAACAUCUAAGUACCCGGAGGAAGAGAAAGCAAAUGCGAUUCCCUGAGUAGCGGCGAGCGAAACGGGACCAGCCCAAACCAAGAGGCUUGCCUCUUGGGGUUGUAGGACACUCUGUACGGAGUUACAAAGGAACGAGGUAGAUGAAGAGGUCUGGAAAGGCCCGCCAUAGGAGGUAACAGCCCUGUAGUCAAAACUUCGUUCUCUCCUGAGUGGAUCCUGAGUACGGCGGAACACGUGAAAUUCCGUCGGAAUCCGGGAGGACCAUCUCCCAAGGCUAAAUACUCCCUAGUGACCGAUAGUGAACCAGUACCGUGAGGGAAAGGUGAAAAGCACCCCGGAAGGGGAGUGAAAGAGAUCCUGAAACCGUGUGCCUACAAGUAGUCAGAGCCCGUUAACGGGUGAUGGCGUGCCUUUUGUAGAAUGAACCGGCGAGUUACGAU
RNAcentral lists this ribosomal RNA (639 nucleotides) under Bacillus amyloliquefaciens. RNAcentral describes it as "bacterial LSU rRNA". It matches the Rfam family "Bacterial large subunit ribosomal RNA", at positions 1 to 634 of the family's 2925-position model. The record is from RNAcentral. Lineage: Bacteria; Bacillati; Bacillota; Bacilli; Caryophanales; Bacillaceae.